This 497-nucleotide ribosomal RNA is filed under the name uncultured bacterium. Its description in RNAcentral is "partial 16S ribosomal RNA". It matches the Rfam family "Bacterial small subunit ribosomal RNA", at positions 28 to 507 of the family's 1533-position model. The record is from RNAcentral.
GAUGAACGCUGGCGGCGUGCCUAAUACAUGCAAGUCGAGCGAACAGACGAGGAGCUUGCUCCUCUGACGUUAGCGGCGGACGGGUGAGUAACACGUGGAUAACCUACCUAUAAGACUGGGAUAACUUCGGGAAACCGGAGCUAAUACCGGAUAAUAUAUUGAACCGCAUGGUUCAAUAGUGAAAGACGGUUUUGCUUUCACUUAUAGAUGGAUCCGCGCCGCAUUAGCUAGUUGGUAAGGUAACGGCUUACCAAGGCAACGAUGCGUAGCCGACCUGAGAGGGUGAUCGGACACACUGGAACUGAGACACGGUCCAGACUCCUACGGGAGGCAGCAGUAGGGAAUCUUCCGCAAUGGGCGAAAGCAUGACGGAGCAACGCCGCGUGAGUGAUGAAGGUAUUCGGAUCGUAAAACUCUGUUAUUAGGGAAGAACAAAUGUGUAAGUAACUAUGCACGUCUUGACGGUACCUAAUCAGAAAGCCACGGCUAACUACGUG